This 791-nucleotide long non-coding RNA is filed under the name Homo sapiens (human). RNAcentral's name for it is "HSALNT0213113". The record is from RNAcentral. Lineage: Eukaryota; Metazoa; Chordata; Mammalia; Primates; Hominidae.
CCUAGCCAUACCUGGCCUAUUGCCAAGGUGUCUGGUACCCUCGUGGCUGCCAUGGGGCCAGCCUGAGAGGUAAGAGGAGGCACCUCAGGAUGUGGAACCUAGACCUUGCUAGCAGGGCUGUUGUGAGGAGGGUCUCCACUCCCAUUGGUUUGGUCCACAUAACAGCUGGAAUUAGGUAGGGGCAUCUCAUGGUGCAGGAGAUAUCUGGGAGAGUGGUGCCUCUGUAUCCCAUAAUAAGGCCGUGCCUACUGUGUGCCUACAUCAUCCCAGGCCCCUUACAUGGUGUCAUCUCUGGUGACACAAUCUCAAGGCAUUCUUCACCUUAUAUUCUAUGGAGGUGGGUCCCAAGUAACACCACUCACGUAGACAACAAUGUGAAUGGUGCCCUCUGGAGUUGUGCAAAGCAGUAGACUCACCUGCCAGAAAAGAAUUUCUGUCCCCAUUUAAUGGAUACACAAACUUAUGUUGCCUAAGAGGUUACCUAGCUAGUAAGCAUCAGAGGUCAGAUGAGUCAGCGCAUGAGUCUGAUGUCAGAAGCUGUUUUCUUUUGACUCCAUCCCUCUCUCAGCCCACUCUCCAUGCCAGCCCACCCUGGGAGGAUGGAUGAGGAUGUUAUGUUAAUGGCAUCUGUCAUGUCCCUGACUUAUCAUGAGACAUCCACGAUGAGCCAGAUGCCAGCUGAUGGGCAAACGUGAGUGAUGGAAAACAAGUGUGUGAGUGAUGAAGUUGGCUCUUGCCAGAUGAGGAUGAAAAAUCUCUUGACCAAACCCCAUGUCUGAAGCUGCCAGUUC